GCACUGGUGACAACCCGGAUGUGGCUC
This 27-nucleotide small RNA is filed under the name Bombyx mori (domestic silkworm). RNAcentral describes it as "ovarian small RNA-5258". The record is from RNAcentral. Lineage: Eukaryota; Metazoa; Arthropoda; Insecta; Lepidoptera; Bombycidae.